CCCGUACACAAAAAUGCACAUGCUGUGAGCUCGAUGAGUAGGGCGGGACACGUGGUAUCCUGUCUGAAUAUGGGGGGACCAUCCUCCAAGGCUAAAUACUCCUGACUGACCGAUAGUGAACCAGUACCGUGAGGGAAAGGCGAAAAGAACCCCGGCGAGGGGAGUGAAAAAGAACCUGAAACCGUGUACGUACAAGCAGUGGGAGCACGCUUAGGCGUGUGACUGCGUACCUUUUGUAUAAUGGGUCAGCGACUUAUAUUCUGUAGCAAGGUUAACCGAAUAGGGGAGCCGAAGGGAAACCGAGUCUUAACUGGGCGUUAAGUUGCAGGGUAUAGACCCGAAACCCGGUGAUCUAGCCAUGGGCAGGUUGAAGGUUGGGUAACACUAACUGGAGGACCGAACCGACUAAUGUUGAAAAAUUAGCGGAUGACUUGUGGCUGGGGGUGAAAGGCCAAUCAAACCGGGAGAUAGCUGGUUCUCCCCGAAAGCUAUUUAGGUAGCGCCUCGUGAAUUCAUCUCCGGGGGUAGAGCACUGUUUCGGCAAGGGGGUCAUCCCGACUUACCAACCCGAUGCAAACUGCGAAUACCGGAGAAUGUUAUCACGGGAGACACACGGCGGGUGCUAACGUCCGUCGUGAAGAGGGAAACAACCCAGACCGCCAGCUAAGGUCCCAAAGUCAUGGUUAAGUGGGAAACGAUGUGGGAAGGCCCAGACAGCCAGGAUGUUGGCUUAGAAGCAGCCAUCAUUUAAAGAAAGCGUAAUAGCUCACUGGUCGAGUCGGCCUGCGCGGAAGAUGUAACGGGGCUAAACCAUGCACCGAAGCUGCGGCAGCGACGCUGAUGCGUUGUUGGGUAGGGGAGCGUUCUGUAAGCCUGUGAAGGUGUGCUGUGAGGCAUGCUGGAGGUAUCAGAAGUGCGAAUGCUGACAUAAGUAACGAUAAAGCGGGUGAAAAGCCCGCUCGCCGGAAGACCAAGGGUUCCUGUCCAACGUUAAUCGGGGCAGGGUGAGUCGACCCCUAAGGCGAGGCCGAAAGGCGUAGUCGAUGGGAAACAGGUUAAUAUUCCUGUACUUGGUGUUACUGCGAAGGGGGGACGGAGAAGGCUAUGUUGGCCGGGCGACGGUUGUCCCGGUUUAAGCGUGUAGGCUGGUUUUCCAGGCAAAUCCGGAAAAUCAAGGCUGAGGCGUGAUGACGAGGCACUACGGUGCUGAAGCAACAAAUGCCCUGCUUCCAGGAAAAGCCUCUAAGCAUCAGGUAACAUCAAAUCGUACCCCAAACCGACACAGGUGGUCAGGUAGAGAAUACCAAGGCGCUUGAGAGAACUCGGGUGAAGGAACUAGGCAAAAUGGUGCCGUAACUUCGGGAGAAGGCACGCUGAUAUGUAGGUGAAGUCCCUCGCGGAUGGAGCUGAAAUCAGUCGAAGAUACCAGCUGGCUGCAACUGUUUAUUAAAAACACAGCACUGUGCAAACACGAAAGUGGACGUAUACGGUGUGACGCCUGCCCGGUGCCGGAAGGUUAAUUGAUGGGGUUAGCCGCAAGGCGAAGCUCUUGAUCGAAGCCCCGGUAAACGGCGGCCGUAACUAUAACGGUCCUAAGGUAGCGAAAUUCCUUGUCGGGUAAGUUCCGACCUGCACGAAUGGCGUAAUGAUGGCCAGGUUGUCUCCACCCGAGACUCAGUGAAAUUGAACUCGCUGUGAAGAUGCAGUGUACCCGCGGCAAGACGGAAAGACCCCGUGAACCUUUACUAUAGCUUGACACUGAACAUUGAGCCUUGAUGUGUAGGAUAGGUGGGAGGCUUUGAAGUGUGGACGCCAGUCUGCAUGGAGCCGACCUUGAAAUACCACCCUUUAAUGUUUGAUGUUCUAACGUUGACCCGUAAUCCGGGUUGCGGACAGUGUCUGGUGGGUAGUUUGACUGGGGCGGUCUCCUCCUAAAGAGUAACGGAGGAGCACGAAGGUUGGCUAAUCCUGGUCGGACAUCAGGAGGUUAGUGCAAUGGCAUAAGCCAGCUUGACUGCGAGCGUGACGGCGCGAGCAGGUGCGAAAGCAGGUCAUAGUGAUCCGGUGGUUCUGAAUGGAAGGGCCAUCGCUCAACGGAUAAAAGGUACUCCGGGGAUAACAGGCUGAUACCGCCCAAGAGUUCAUAUCGACGGCGGUGUUUGGCACCUCGAUGUCGGCUCAUCACAUCCUGGGGCUGAAGUAGGUCCCAAGGGUAUGGCUGUUCGCCAUUUAAAGUGGUACGCGAGCUGGGUUUAGAACGUCGUGAGACAGUUCGGUCCCUA
RNAcentral lists this ribosomal RNA (2282 nucleotides) under Escherichia coli. RNAcentral describes it as "partial 23S ribosomal RNA". It matches the Rfam family "Bacterial large subunit ribosomal RNA", at positions 372 to 2640 of the family's 2925-position model. The record is from RNAcentral. Lineage: Bacteria; Pseudomonadati; Pseudomonadota; Gammaproteobacteria; Enterobacterales; Enterobacteriaceae.